GGCCUAAAGUUUAAAAAAAUUAAAAAAAAAAAAAAAAAACUCAAUAAGUUCAUAACCUCUUUACAAACUUUAACUAAAUUACCUAAUAUUAACAAGGAAUUGAAGAAACACACAAUUCUUAAUGUAGUCAAGAACUAAUAGUGGCUCAUCCGCGUAGCACCACAUUGUCUUACUAAGCAAGUAUAUCCUAAACUUCUGAAAAACGCACAACACUAUAUGACAUUAUAAGAAAUUAAAUUACAAACUUCUCACACAAAGGAAAAUGUCCCUACCAACUGUGCUAGCAGUCAUGAAUGUAUAUUUAACAUCAUAAACAUAUAACUAAAUAUGAGAAAGUUACAUUGGUAAGAAUAAUAUUUGGUCGCGCCUUAAAAACAAAUUUUAGUCUGCUUACAAUGCAAGCACUUGUCGAGAGUUUAGAGCUUUACCCUUCAUCUUAACAUAGAGUUAGCUUUACUUGAUUAUUUCUAAGAACAUAACGAGAAUAUUAUCCCUCAUUUGGCUUGUUAAAUAAUAAACAUAUCCAAAUUGGAAGAUUCGUGCUAUACGCUAUACAAAAAUUUGAUAACAUUCUUAAAAGAACAUUAAAGUGGCUGACAAUAAGGACAUUACAUCAAUUUCAUCGAAAAGAACCAUAAGCUUCCUUAGAAGUAACAAAAACUAUAGUUACCAUCACAAAGGAAUUAUCACAAAUUUUCUAACUGCUAGGACAGUUGGUAGGAACACUUUCCUCCAUAUGAGAAGCUUGUGGUUUCAUUCCUAUCAAUGUCAUAAUACAAUAUGCAUUGUUAUAACAAUACAGACCCAAAUGACCUACAAAAUCAAUUCUAGUUACGUAUGAACAAAUAACACAUGACAAUAACUAACAUCAGGAGAUGUUAAAGACCUACAAAAGUCCAUUAGUUAAGAGUACCGACAUGUUUUCAAGUCUCACUACGAGCCUAACUUUAAUAAACAAAAGACCAACGUUACAGGAACUAGACAAUGGCUAGCAUAUGUUGGGGACUUCGACAAAAACUCUAAAACACUUUUGCCUUUAGCCAAAGUGAUGCAGGAUUAGAGGUGAGAUUGGGUUCUAAACCCUAAACCCUAAACCCUAAACUCUAAAACACUUUUGCCUUUAGCCAAAGUGAUGCAGGAUUAGAGGUGAGAUUGGGUUCUAUGGACAGCAAAAUAAUGAUACAAACUUUGCGAGGGAGUACAUUAGAACAAGAGUGAAGACAGCUUGUGUUCUAGGUGUCUGCAAAUGUGCAACCACUUAAAGUGGAGACACAUAUGCAAGCUGUAGGUUUCAAGCUAUAAUAUAUCCCUGCAAGCUGCAGGUUUCGAGCUAUAAUAUAUCCCUGCAUGUCAACUAUCAUUAUAAUGCAACACAUUCAAAUUAAUCCUAUGAUAUUGACAAUUUAUCGUUUGACUACCAAAUUUAAACAUCAAUCACUAUGCAACACAUUCUCUCAUAAAAUAUUGAAAUAAAAAAAUUCUAUUCAAAGUAAUAGAUAGAAAUUUUUUUGGAACAACGAUGAUAUUGACAAAGCAAUAAUUAUUACUAAUAAAGUAAGUACAUUAAAUCUAAACAUAUGUAUAUUGUAAAGCUAACAAGAUUCAUUAUACCUGCUCUAUCAACAAUAAUUUUUGCUCUAUCAAUGUCACUAACUUUAGGAAUUUAUUAGUGACUUAAAUAUAAAAUAUUCAAGAAACAAAUUUACAGAGAGGAAGCCAUGAAGGCAUUUCCUAUUUCAAUAUCUCCUCACUCACACAAGAAUGUGUUUUGUAUUAUAAUUAUGGAGUGAUGCUAUACCCACAACCGUUUUACAUGCAUGUCAAAUGACGACCUGAUAAAUUGUUAUGAUUCACAUCAUAGUAGGACUAACACCACCAUUUCAGGCAAUCAUAAUCCUAGGAGAUUUGACAUGCAUAUCAAAGGUUGUGGGUAUAUCAUUUCUCAUAAUUAAUAUAUCAUGCAUUAAAACCCAAUGUAAUUGAUAGGUGCAAACUAAGAAGCCAAAUAUGGCCUAAAUACAAAUUUGAACUUAUAGAAGCCAAAUUUGGCCUAAAUACAAAUUUGAACUUAUACCUUCUUACUUCCAAUAAGGGGCCGUUUGGUUGGAUGUAGUUGUAGAAACAGUGUAGUUAGAAAUACAUGCAGUUGCAAAUGCUGCAGUUAUAACUACACCUAGUCUGUUUGGUUUUACGCAGUUGCAACUGCUGCAGUUACAUUUUUUCUGUUUGGUAAUAUGAAGCUGAUAGUUGUAUUUAUGAAUUUUGUCACCUCUUCAGAUAGAGUGGUGAGGUUACCUUCACUAAACAUAAAAUAAUUGUAUAAAUUUAUUAAUUAUUUAAAUUUACUAUUUAUAAAUAAAUAAGUAGAUAUAUAUAAUAUUUUUAUAUUUUUCAAUAAUUCUUCAACUUAUUAAUCGACACAUUUAAAAUUUUUAAUUUAUUUAAUUUUAAUAUGUAAAUCAAACUUUAAAAAUUUAAACGAUUCUCUCAUUUUUUUUUAUCAAAUUUAAUAAUUAUAAUUAAUUAAAACUUAUUAAAUUAACAUACACGAUCACAUUCUAUAAA
This 2565-nucleotide long non-coding RNA is filed under the name Ananas comosus (pineapple). Its description in RNAcentral is "long non-coding RNA (ACOM_LNC009428)". Lineage: Eukaryota; Viridiplantae; Streptophyta; Magnoliopsida; Poales; Bromeliaceae. The record is from RNAcentral.